CAGUCGAGGGGCAGCAUCAUCAAAGCUUGCUUUGAUGGAUGGCGACCGGCGCACGGGUGAGUAACACGUAUCCAACCUGCCGACAACACUGGGAUAGCCUUUCGAAAGAAAGAUUAAUACCGGAUGGCAUAGUUUUUCCGCAUGGGAUAAUUAUUAAAGAAUUUCGGUUGUCGAUGGGGAUGCGUUCCAUUAGGCAGUUGGCGGGGUAACGGCCCACCAAACCAACGAUGGAUAGGGGUUCUGAGAGGAAGGUCCCCCACAUUGGAACUGAGACACGGUCCAAACUCCUACGGGAGGCAGCAGUGAGGAAUAUUGGUCAAUGGACGAGAGUCUGAACCAGCCAAGUAGCGUGAAGGAUGACUGCCCUAUGGGUUGUAAACUUCUUUUAUACGGGAAUAAAGUUAGCCACGUGUGGCUUUUUGUAUGUACCGUAUGAAUAAGGAUCGGCUAACUCCGUGCCAGCAGCCGCGGUAAUACGGAGGAUCCGAGCGUUAUCCGGAUUUAUUGGGUUUAAAGGGAGCGUAGGCGGGUUGUUAAGUCAGUUGUGAAAGUUUGCGGCUCAACCGUAAAAUUGCAGUUGAUACUGGCGACCUUGAGUGCAACAGAGGUAGGCGGAAUUCGUGGUGUAGCGGUGAAAUGCUUAGAUAUCACGAAGAACUCCGAUUGCGAAGGCAGCUUACUGGA
This 684-nucleotide ribosomal RNA is filed under the name uncultured bacterium. Its description in RNAcentral is "bacterial SSU rRNA". It matches the Rfam family "Bacterial small subunit ribosomal RNA", at positions 59 to 733 of the family's 1533-position model. The record is from RNAcentral.